CCUCCUUAUACGAUUUAGAACUUAUUUGUUCGUAGUGUCCACACAGAUGAUUGUUAGUUAGUUUUACCCUUUGGGUUUAACUGAUUAAUAUGCUCUUUAAAAAUUUGGAAAAGCUGAUAAUAAAAUUCGUAUGAAUAACAGUGUUAUUUGUACAGAGUUUUCAAAAGUAAAAAAGAAUGAUAGCAGUAUCAUUCAGUGCCAAUUUAAUCAUUCGUGAUUAAUUGGUAUCUACUUUAGUAUUCAAUAUUAACUUCUGGCGAAGUUAAACUGUCACAUAACAAAGACCCGUUUGGGUUGUAUGGUUAAGUGACUAAGCGUACACGGUGGAUGCA
This 332-nucleotide unclassified non-coding RNA is filed under the name uncultured Pseudoalteromonas sp. Its description in RNAcentral is "partial 16S-23S ribosomal RNA intergenic spacer". The record is from RNAcentral. Lineage: Bacteria; Pseudomonadati; Pseudomonadota; Gammaproteobacteria; Alteromonadales; Pseudoalteromonadaceae.